AAAAAAAAAGUCUGCUGUGUUCUUUGCUCUUGGUUCUCAUAGCAAAUUGAGUUGAAGGUAGCCAACAGUACCAGUGCCACAGCCGGGAUGCUGUGUAGUCAUGAAACAUUCUCCAGCAGAUGAACUUCCAUCAGCUUUAAGCUGAUCUCCCACAAAGUCUCAAGGCAGGGACAUAAUGCGUCAGAUUUUUUACCAAGGUGUAGCAGAGACAGCCUCUAGUCUAGUCCCCAGUAGAGUCCUUAUUUACAUCUGAAACCUCAUGAACAUAACCCUCACUCUGCUAUUAAGAGUCUGGAAUUCUGAGUCCUCAUCAGAACUACCCAUGAAGCUCUGACUCUACAAUUUCUAGGUUCCAGAUCCUCAAAACUUCUCAGAUUCCUCCUGCACACCAGUUAUUCAGUUCCACAGCACCUCAGGUGUAAUCACAGCUAUGACACACCUCCUGGUUCCAAUUUUCUAUUAGCUUCUUGUACUUCAGGAAAUACCCAAGACAACCCAUUGUGUUUUGUUUCAGUCUGGAACUCACUAUGGAACCAGACUGGCCUCAAACUCACAAUCCUUUCAUUGCAGCCUUCCAAGUGCUGGGAUUUCAGACAUGCAUCACCAUGUCUAAUUAGAAAAUAAUCCCAUAAUAUGGAAAGUUUCAGAGGUACCUCUCCGUGAUGGCUUGGUCUAGUUACUUCAGACCUGUUGCACCACCAUACAUUAUGGUGGAAACAUAGGAGAGAAGAUCUCUUUACCAAGCAAGUGAAGAGAGAAACAGGAAGGGCCAAGGGGCACCAGUAGCUGCUUUAAAGACACAUCUCCAAUGACUUCACUUCUUGCCAUUGAGCUUCAUCUCCUAAUGGUCCCAGCACCUCCUUUAGAGGCUUAGACUAGAGAUAACCCCAUCAGCAUGAGGGGCUUUGGAGAUCCUUGCCCAAGCUAUACCACAGCCUAAAUGUCACAUACAAAAAGCAAACCCAGAAAGUUAAGGUAUCUUAGAAAUAAAUUCUCCACUUCUAGUGGAGAUUAUUAGAAUCUAAUUAGAUGAUUAGAUUAUUAGAAUCUAAUUAGGCCAGGACCUGUUCUAUUGGAUAUGGUAGUGAGACAGUUUCAGUAGUCCAUAUGAGGACAAUGUCCCAGGACAGCAGUUCUGAAUUCGAAGUUACUGCUCCAGCAGCAUCUUGGGAACCAGGGGCUCCAGGUUCUGUCACAGUCCCCUCAGUUGAUGCAGACAAUGGCUUGAGAGUCCUGUGCUGGGCGGAAGAAAGGAAGUGUUAGAAACUGGUAAGGGGAGUGAUCUCUGCUAACUUCUCAUUUGUUCCUGCUUUCCUGACGUUUUUGUUAAUAUAAAUGGCUUUAUGUUUACAUGCACACUCAUAGUGUGUACUGUUCAAAUCCAGUCUCCUCUUCCACACUUCCCAACCUCUAGUAAUUACCAGCUUAUAUUCUUAUCGAUUAAAAAAAAAACCCAUGUGUAGUAUUUAUCUUUCUGUAUUUCAUUCACUGAUGUAAAUUCCUUUGUGAUUAAAUGAAAUUCCAGUGUGUGUGUGUAUAUAUAUAUAUAUAUCACAUAUUUUCCAAUCUAUCCAUCUGUUGAGCACCUGUUUUGAUUCACAAGUAUAUCUAUUGUGAAUGUUGUUCCAAUAAACACAGGCAUGCAAGUGCAUCCUUGAUAUUCUGAUGUCAUUUCCUUUGCAGCCCCAUGUGGAGUCUCUGUGUUAUAUGGUAGAUUUAUUUAUAUAUCUUUUGAAAAGCCUCACUGUUCUCCGUGGCUGUAGUAGCUAAUGUUCAUCUCAUCAAUGUAUGAGUGCCUUCCAUCUGUCUCCCUAGCAUUUGCUGUUUUAUUUAUAAUCUCCAUUCUAACUUAGGUGAGACGGCAUUUUGUUGUUUUAGUCUGCAUCCCCUUAAGGUUAAUUACACUGAGACCUUUUCAUCCAUUUAUUGGUUACCUGCAGGUCUUCUGAGAAGUGUCUGCUCAGUCCAUCUUUUGCUCUUUAUUUUAUUUUUUCUUGAUUUUACUUUUCUCUGUGGUUAAGGCCUUUAGUUCCUUGUGUGGAGCAGAGGCUGAAGCCCCCAUCAGGGGAAGAGUUUACAGCUGUGUUAUCCCGAGUUGUGUGGCGUUUACAGAUGUUUUCUUCCCUGUUGUGUGACGUCUCUUCGCUCUUCUUUCUCUCUGAUGUAAUUUCACUUUGAGGUCAAAUACAAAACACCAAUCCUUAAUAUCAGUCUUCUGAAGUAUCUUUUCUAUAUUUUGUUCUAGUGAUUUCAGAGUUUCAGGUCUUAUAUUUUGGCCUUUGAUGCAUUUUGUGUUGGUUUUUAUGGUGGAUAACAGAUAGGAGCCAUGUUCCAAUUUUCUAUACAUAAAUGUCUAGUGUGUCUGUUGAAAAGACUAUCCUCUCUAUAGUAUAUAAUUUUGUCACCUCAUCCAAGAAUCAGGUGGCUGAAAAUGUGUGAAUUUAUUUCUGGAUCCUCUGUUGUGUUCUACUGGUCUAUAAGGUCAGUUUUAUAAUUUUCUAUUCCUAUGGCUGUAUUGUAUAUCUUGGAAGCAGGUACAUGGCACCUGCAACAUGGCUUUCUGUGCUGGAUGGCUUUGUCAAUGUGGCAGGGCUUUUGUGUGUCCAUGUGAAUUUUUGAAUUGCUUUUUCUAGUUAUCUGAAGAAUAUCAUUAGAAGUUUGAUGAGGAUGGUGUUGUGUUUGUAAAGAGAUUUCAGCAAUAUAGAUAUUUAAACUGUAGUUUCUCCAAUUCAUGAACACAACCAGUCUUUCCAUUUGUGUGUACAUGCACACACAUGUGUAUAGCUGUGUUUGUGUGUGUGUGUGUGUGUGUGUGUGUGUGUGUUUUCCAAUUUAUUUUAUCAGUGUUUUGUAAUUUUCUUUGCAGAGGUCCUUCACUUCCUAAGUUAAAAUUUAUAUCUAUGUGUCUUCGUAGCUAUUGUGAUGAAAUUGCUUUUAUCUUAGCAUGUGCUAUCUUAGAGUGUGCUAUUUGAACCAUUCAAAUAAGUGGUAUUUAAGCCCAGGCUAGCCCAGGCUCAGCAUGCAGAGCUCAUCUCUUUCCCAUGGUGCUGUGUGUCCAAGAGUAAUAAGGUCAUGGAUUGUACCAAACUGCCUGCAAACACACCUAGCAUGUAGGGACGUGAGUGCUUAGUGCUUCAGUCAAUUUGUUUUUAUCUUAUUCAGCUGCUUUGAGCUUUAGCCCAGCCUCUACCUGAGCUUUAUUUUUGUUUCAUCUGCUCACCGUCCCUAUAGAAAAUGUUUCCUCAUAAGCUUCAGACCAGUGGGUAGAUGGUGCCUGCUUUGUCAACCCUUUUGCUCACACAGGGAAGGACAGUUCUCUGCAGGACCUGGCCGCAGUCAUUUUCUGGGUUUCUUCACGUACUGAACGUGAAACAGUUAAUUCACACGUGGCUGCUCGCCUAACCACAGGGUUCAUCUCACGGUAUGGUUGAACUCAGGAAGGAUAAAGAGUCAAAAUAAGAGGGGCUUUCCUAGCAUGUUUGCAGAGGAAACUGCGGUUGCUGAGCUUCUGAACAGAGGAAAGCAGCAGCAGGUGAGAAGCCAGUGAACUGUUAUCAGAGAUCUCACCUAGGUCUCCUCCAGGGCUCACUCUGACCACAAUUACCUGUUUACACACACUAAAGAAGUGGGUGUGAACGAAGGCAGAGGAACUGGAGGAGGGCCCCAGUAAGAGAACCAGAACCCAGCUCUACUGUGGGAGGCACAGUGAGGGGAAGGGACAUGGCAACCCCUGAGGUGAUUUUUUCAUUCUCCAUAAGAAAAAUGUCCCAUAGAAGGAACAUCAAUAUGAACUAACCAGUACCCCCAGAGUUCCUUGGAACUAUACCACCAAUCAAAGAAAACACAUGGUGGAACUUGUGGCUUUAGCUAUAUAUGUAGCAGAGGAUGGCCUAGUCUGUCAUCAAUGGGAGGAGCGGCCCUAGCUCCUGUGAAGGUUCUAUGCCCCAGUAUAGGGAAAUGCCAGGACCAGGAAUGGGAGUGGGUGGGUUGGGGAGCAGGGAGAUGGGGGAGGGGAUAGGGGAUUUUCGGAGGGGAAACUAGGAAAGGGGAUUAACAUUUGAAAUGUAAAUAAAGAAAAUAUCUAAUAAAAAAGGAAACAAUAAAUCAAAUAAAGAGG
This 4117-nucleotide long non-coding RNA is filed under the name Mus musculus (house mouse). RNAcentral describes it as "long non-coding RNA chr6:48729549-48733666". Lineage: Eukaryota; Metazoa; Chordata; Mammalia; Rodentia; Muridae. The record is from RNAcentral.